RNAcentral lists this ribosomal RNA (403 nucleotides) under uncultured bacterium. Its description in RNAcentral is "bacterial SSU rRNA". It matches the Rfam family "Bacterial small subunit ribosomal RNA", at positions 355 to 775 of the family's 1533-position model. The record is from RNAcentral.
UGGGGAAUAUUGGACAAUGGGGGCAACCCUGAUCCAGCAAUGCCGCGUGAGUGAUGAAGGCCUUCGGGUUGUAAAGCUCUUUCACCCGCGACGAUGAUGACGGUAGCGGGAGAAGAAGCCCCGGCUAACUUCGUGCCAGCAGCCGCGGUAAUACGAAGGGGGCGAGCGUUGUUCGGAAUCACUGGGCGUAAAGGGCGCGUAGGCGGCGGAUCAAGUCAGGCGUGAAAGCCCCGGGCUCAACCUGGGAGGUGCGCUUGGGACUGGUCUGCUUGAGUUCGGGAGAGGAGCGUGGAAUUCCCAGUGUAGAGGUGAGAUUCGUAGAUAUUGGGAAGAACACCGGUGGCGAAGGCGGCGCUCUGGACCGAGACUGACGCUGAGGCGCGAAAGCGUGGGGAGCAAACAG